GAGGAAAGUCUAGAAGCCCGGGAGGACAUCUUUUGGGUGAAGGCAUCAAUAAUAGAACUACGGGAAAGGUGUACGGAAAGAAAGAUACUUGCCUUCUAAAACAGCAGUUGUUACAAUCUCUGAAUUAGUCCUCAUGCUCUAGUGUCUCGGCCGGCUUUGAUGUUUGGUUUUCCAGUUACCCACUUCCUUUCUUCAGCUCUAUUGUGGAGCUUCCCUGGAGCAGCUGUGCUGAGAAGGAAGAUGCUUCUUGACUCCAUUUUGGAAGAGUGGAGAGGCUGUCAUCCAGUCUUCUCUUUUCAGGAAGAUUUCCAGAGGCAGCAAUUCCACUCAACCACGUGUCUGUGUCCUAAGCGCACUCACACAGCAUCUUUACCGACUGGCUGGCAGGAAGGGAGACAGCUCUGAAGGAAAGGAUGUGGUUACUCUUCAAAACCCCAGUUCUGUUAAAGGAUUAAAAAAAAAAUGGUUGCAAAACACAUUCCCAUUACAGUUCAAUAGGUUUGAGCCCAUUGAAACAUGGAGUUUAUGAACAU
Molecule: long non-coding RNA, 533 nt
Filed under: Rattus norvegicus (Norway rat)
Lineage: Eukaryota; Metazoa; Chordata; Mammalia; Rodentia; Muridae
Description: long non-coding RNA NONRATT022086
Source: RNAcentral